UGCUAUGAGGCAUGCGGCUUGUUUCCCUA
Molecule: non-coding RNA, 29 nt
Filed under: Homo sapiens (human)
Lineage: Eukaryota; Metazoa; Chordata; Mammalia; Primates; Hominidae
Source: RNAcentral